This 445-nucleotide ribosomal RNA is filed under the name uncultured bacterium. RNAcentral describes it as "SSU rRNA". It matches the Rfam family "Bacterial small subunit ribosomal RNA", at positions 26 to 517 of the family's 1533-position model. The record is from RNAcentral.
AGAGCGAACGCUGGCGGCAGGCCUAACACAUGCAAGUCGAGCGCCCGUAGCAAUACGGGAGCGGCAGACGGGAUAGUAACACGUGGGAACGCGCCCUUCGGUUCGGAAUAACUCAGGGAAACUUGAGCUAAUACCGAAUACGCCCUUACGGGGAAAGAUUUAUUGCCGAAGGAACGGCCCGCGUCCGAUUAGCUAGUUGGUGAGGUAAUGGCUUACCAAGGCUACGAUCGGUAGCUGGUCUGAGAGGAUGACCAGCAUCACUGGGACUGAGACACGGCCCAGACUCCUACGGGAGGCAGCAGUGGGGAAUAUUGGACAAUGGGCGCAAGCCUGAUCCAGCCAUGCCGCGUGGAUGAUGAAGGCCUUAGGGUUGUAAAGUCCUUUUAACGGGAAGAUAAUGACGGUACCCGUAGAAUAAGCCCGGCUAACUUCGCGCCAGCAGCCG